UACGGGAGGGGCAAGCGUUGCUCGGAAUUACUGGGCGUAAAGGGAGCGUAGGCGGAUAGUUUAGUCAGAGGUGAAAGCCCAGGGCUCAACCUUGGAAUUUCCUUUGAUACUGGCUAUCUUGAGUGUGGGAGAGGUUAGCGGAACUCCGAGUGUAGAGGUGAAAUUCGUAGAUAUUCGGAAGAACACCAGUGGCGAAGGCGGCUAACUGGCCCAUUACUGACGCUGAGGCUCGAAAGCGUGGGGAGCAAACAGG
Molecule: ribosomal RNA, 253 nt
Filed under: uncultured bacterium
Lineage: Bacteria
Description: partial 16S ribosomal RNA
Rfam family: Bacterial small subunit ribosomal RNA
Source: RNAcentral